GGGUGAGUAACACGUGAGCAACCUGCCUAUCAGAGGGGGAUAACGAUUGGAAACGAUCGCUAAUACCGCAUGACAUAGCGGAAUCGCAUGGUUCUGUUAUCAAAGAUUUUAUCGCUGAUAGAUGGGCUCGCGUCCGAUUAGAUAGUUGGUGGGGUAACGGCCUACCAAGUCGACGAUCGGUAGCCGGACUGAGAGGUCGAACGGCCACAUUGGGACUGAGACACGGCCCAGACUCCUACGGGAGGCAGCAGUGGGGGAUAUUGCACAAUGGGGGAAACCCUGAUGCAGCGACGCCGCGUGAGGGAAGACGGUCCUCUGGAUUGUAAACCUCUGUCUUCGGGGACGAAACGAGACGGUACCCGAGGAGGAAGCCACGGCUAACUACGUGCCAGCAGCCGCGGUAAUACGUAGGUGGCAAGCGUUGUCCGGAAUUACUGGGUGUAAAGGGAGCGUAGGCGGGCAGGCAGGUCAGGCGUGAAAUAUAUCGGCUCAACCGGUAACGGCGCUUGAAACUGCAGGUCUUGAGUGAAGUAGAGGUUGGCGGAAUUCCUAGUGUAGCGGUGAAAUGCGUAGAUAUUAGGAGGAACACCAGUGGCGAAGGCGGCCAACUGGGCUUUUACUGACGCUGAGGCUCGAAAGUGUGGGGAGCAAACAGGAUUAGAUACCCUGGUAGUCCACACCGUAAACGAUGAUUACUAGGUGUGGGGGGACU
This 712-nucleotide ribosomal RNA is filed under the name uncultured bacterium. Its description in RNAcentral is "bacterial SSU rRNA". It matches the Rfam family "Bacterial small subunit ribosomal RNA", at positions 104 to 832 of the family's 1533-position model. The record is from RNAcentral.